Bos grunniens (domestic yak) is the source of this 2478-nucleotide long non-coding RNA. The record is from Ensembl. Lineage: Eukaryota; Metazoa; Chordata; Mammalia; Artiodactyla; Bovidae.
CGCCGCUCGCCUCGGCCGGCGCAGCCCCGGCCGCCGGGCGCACCCGUCCCGUGCGUCCCCGGACGUCGCUCUCUGCCCCGGGAACGUCGGGACUGGAGCGCCCGCGCUGAGCCACCUUCACCGACCCAGAGCGCUGCGGCUCGACUCACCACGGAGGCGCUGGGACGCGGGGAAGUGCGUACUCUCAACGGGGAAUGUGUGUGGAGGCUUUUAGGGGUGCGGGGUAACUCCCCAACUCCAUGGGGGCCCUGGUCGGCUCUGCCGCCGCGUCCGAGAUCUGAUGACUCGCUGCGCGCGGCGCGGGGUCGGCGACUUGGGGCGGCGGGGCGCAGAGUACCGUGACCUGGGGGGUCCCCGAAGCUGGGAGCCAGGUCGCCUCGCCUCGGGCCUCCUUGACCCCUGGGGCGAGGCCUGAACCGGGUCGAGAGCGAUCUUGAUGCCGGGGGAGUCCAGCCCGCCUGGGACGCUCUCGCGGUCGUGGGGACUCGUCUGGGGCGGCGGUGGCUGAGCCCGAGUCCGGCGCCGCCACCGCCGGCGUCCCGUGCGCUCGCUACCCGCCUGGGGACCGGCCGCCUAACUUCUUCCCGGGACGGACACAGCGCUCGCAUCCCGGGCAGAGGUGGAAGCUCGCUGAUCCGGAUUCGGCGAGGGCACCGCUCUCGGCGGCGGCGGCGGCGAGGGAACAAGUCUCGGGGAGUCAACCUAGGGCACCAAGCCCCCACCCAGGACCCGGCGGGCCCCAGCGGGCGCGGAGAGAGAUGCGCGUUUCAGGCAGAGGUCCUCUCCUCCGGUUUUCGCGACCCUGGCGGGACCCUCUGCCCUGCAAACUCCCACCUGGGACCGCGGCUCCGGCAGGUCAAGAUCCCUAGUGGAAGGCAGGUCAGGGGCCUGAAGGUAGACCCUUUUCUCUUUCUCCCAGCCAGGCGAUGCCCCUGCGGCCUGGGGCGGCGGCGUUGGGUGCUGCAGAGCCCGGGAACUUCCCACCCAGAGGAAAGGCCGCUUCAUCCCGGACCCCGCUGUUCUCCGCGCCCCCGGCACUGCCCAUCAGCACCGUGGGUAGGGGUCUUUAGAGCCUCUGCGGGCAGCCCAGGGAGACCACCAACCCAUAGGCCCUUGGGCCCCAGGGAGGCUCAGGUGAGCAGCGCUUGUCCUCCGGACUGUUGGCCGUUCUGGCGGAUCUGCUUCUGUUCCUCGGGCCAGCCGGCUCCACCCCGCGUCUCUGGAUUCCGGGACAUCGGACAUCUGGCUCCCACCACGCCUUGUGCAGGUAACGAAGCUCCCAGCUGCCAGAUAGAUGGAUGCUGAGACUCCCCGUGGGGUGUUCAGGGCCCCGCCCUGCAGGAGGGCCUCCUGGGGCUUCACAGGGAGCAGGGCAGCCCACACCUGGCCAAGCGUGUUGAAGAGUGACAGGUGUGUCCUGGCCGUGAGCUUGUCCAGAGGCCUCAGCGCUCUGUCUCCCCAGCCCCCUCCCCGGGCCUCCUGGGGCCCUGGGGGAAUCCCAGCUGCCUUCCUGCCUCUGAGCCUCCGUGCAUACUGUUCCCUCUGCCUCCUCCCUCCCCUGGGACCCGCAGGCCUUCUCCUCGGCCUGCACCUCCCUCUGGGUCAGGCCUGCUCCACCCCCACCGUCUCCCUCCUCCUGGCCGAGGGCCGGGCACCUCUCACUACUGGUCUUGUGUCAGCUGCUGCCCAGACUCUGCCUCUCCCAGGCCGGCCCAGCCAGGAUCCUCCGCAGUGACGAGCCUGCCCCCUGCGCCCCCGAGGAAUCCAAUAAACCUUUGUGAAACCAGCUACCCGAGUGCAGUGUGGACUUAUUGGAAACAUCUAAUUUCCAAACAUUUCAUCCUGCCCUUCUGCACGCUGGCGGGCAGCCCUAAGCAAGGUAGGGCGUGUCCGCGGCCGGGCAGAGUGAGGUCUUCGAGGACCUGGGACCCGGGGGCACACAGUCCCUGGGAGAUCCCCUUCGGGCAGAGCGUCUGGCGAAUCCCCUCAUCCCCCUGGCCGCUGACCUUCCUGGGAGUCCUCUCACGGGAACCCGAGAACCCCCAUGGCGGGGCGGGGGGAGGGCUGUGCUCACCCUUUGCUUUUGCUUCAAAGACGCUUUUUUCUUUCUGACUCGACCUCUUCCGACUCGGCUCGGUUCGGCUCAACAGGGUGGAUGCGCUGCUGGUGGGUGGCGGCUGCGGGCUCAGCGGCUUCCGGGCUUAGGGGUCUUAGAGGUGUCCUUGACCCAGCAGGUCUCUGUCCAUCUUCACAGGACAUGCUUCGGCCGGGCACCCUCCCGGGAGCUGCCGGCUGGGCUCUGGGGUGGUUGGCUGCCUGGGAGCCCAGCCAGGAGAGCUUGUUGGGGCCUUGGGGCCUGCAUGGAGCUGGUGUUGGCAGCGUUCCUGAGCCGGGGGAGGUCUGGGGCUUCCGGCCAAAGAGAAGGGAAGGCCUGGAGGUGAAGCCCUGGCUACCUAGUGGGUGACCUGGGCGUGUCCC